Molecule: long non-coding RNA, 4618 nt
Filed under: Homo sapiens (human)
Lineage: Eukaryota; Metazoa; Chordata; Mammalia; Primates; Hominidae
Description: Prader Willi/Angelman region RNA 6 (PWAR6)
Source: RNAcentral
UUAUUUUUAAUAUUAUGUUGUAUUUGAUGUGCUAUCCUAUUCAUUUAGUAUAAGCACAUUUUUCUUUAUGUCUUCAGCAUAAUUAUAUGCUUUUUCAGAAUUUUAACAUCAGGACUGCUUCCAGGGUAGCUUUAUUGCCCUUUGUCUUAAGUAUGGAUUAUAGUUUUCAUUCUUUGUAUGUCAAGUAAUUUUGGAUUGUAACUUGAACUUUGAAUAUACUGUAGAAACUCUGAAUUCUAUUUUAUUCUUCUAAAACAAUAUUUCUCAGCUUCAGCACUACUGACAUUUUGAACUGGGUCAUUUUGUUUGUGUUGUUGUGUGUAUUUUGGGAGGGUACUGUUCUAUAUGCAUUGUGGGGUACUGAGUAUUAUCCUUUGUCUCCACUCACUACUUACCAGUAGCAUAACUCUCUCUCCUCCCCACAUCCCCUGCCAAAAAAUGCCUUCAGUCCUUUCUAAGCGCUCUUUUUUAUGGUGUUGGGGCCAAAAUCAUGCAUCUUUACUCACUCUUUCUCAUUGAGAGCUAUGGCUAUAAAGGGUAGUGAUACUUUUACUUAUUUAUUUUUAAGGCAAGCAGUUAACUUAGCUGGAUUCAAACUCCAGGCUGCCUCGUGUGCUGUGGGAAGCAGCCUACGCUCUAUUCAGUUCUUUUCUUUUCAUAUUGGUUGGGUUACUUUGAGUCUGGCCUACAUGAUGGGCAGUUUAGAGGUCAACCAAAGGAUUUCAGCAGAACUUAUACACAGAAUUUCAUUCAGGCUUCCCGUGUCUGAUUGGCUACAGUGUGGGAAUUUCCUCCCACUUUUCAGCCACUACUGAGGAUGCCUUUCGGCAAAAUUCCUUGAAAUUGGAAACUUACAGGGAAAUUCCUUUCCUCCAAGAGUGCGCUCUCCUCCAGUGUUGGCUUGCUUUUGGUUGUUCUCCGUGGUUUUAGAUAGCUGUCUUUAUAUUAAUUCUGGAGUUUACAGUUGAUAUCUGUUGGGGGCUUAGUUUGAUAACAUGUAUUCUUCUAUUACUAGUAGCCAGACCUGUAUGUCUUACUUGACCUGAUGGAGAAAAGUUUCAACUUAUGAGACAAUACUGUGCUAGCUAGUUUUACUGAUUUGUACUCUAAAGUACCCAAGCCUAAAAUAGUAGAGCUGUCUAUCCCACAUGAAACUUCUCUGAUUUUCACUGUUUUUUAUAAAAAGUAUACAUGUUCACAUUUCUGUAGGUUUUUUUAAGCAUCACAAUUUUUAUAAACUUUCUAUAUUUCCAAGGUCUACCUGCUUUGUAUUUUGCCUAGUGAGAGUUUUGUAUUCAUGUAGGAAUAAUCUCUUGGUGUGAGUAUCUAUUUUCCACUCAUCCAAAACAGAUAGAGCAUUGAUUUCACUAAGCGUUAUGUUCUAGUUUGCUUUGGUAUUAUUAUUAGAAAUACCUGGUGAUUAAUUUGAGCUAAGUAUUCUUCUCUACCCUCAUUCCCAGCAUUAUCACCCGCUUUUACCACUUCCAAGGGGUGGAAGCAUUCUCCACAAUGCAUUUUUUCAUGCCAGAGAAAAAUCUAGAAAAAAAUGAAUAAAACGAAGAAAUUCUUUCCCCUUGGUAUCUGUAGCUAACUUGCCUAAGUGUUCUUUCCCACAGUUUAAGUCUUCAGUCCAUAGUUCAUAAGCAAAGGGGUGUAGCGAGCUCUGAUCUUGCCAGAAGAGAGAAUAAGUGAGCUACCCCACGGUGGACAUUCUGGCCAUCUGAAAUGAGUCGAUGCAUGUGGCUUUUGUCUAAAGGCUACAAAUAAAAUGUAACCACUUUCUUCUUUGAGUAGUUGAUAUAGCAAAUAGUUGAAACAGAAGUUUUGAUUGGCAAAUCAGGAUGUGGUAGAUACUUUAACAAAGAGUAGAACUAUUACCAGUUUUAUGUGUUGCUGUUUGUAUCUCUUUCACAGUUUUGAUAAUAUCACAUCCUGGAAAGUGAAACAGAAAAUUAUUAUUCCAUUUUAAAUGACUAAAUUUGCUUUCAUGGUAUUUACAGUGAAAGAGUAAAUUAGAAAGUGAAUGGAUGACUGUUCAUGAGAAAAAGCAGGGUAAAAAGAUUUUAUUUAAUUAAUUGAAAAUAUUAGGGUCAAAACAUAGGCUUAUGUUAUGUUUUGUGAAUUGUGCUGUGUUGUAGACAUUUGAUGAGUCCUAACAUAGAAUUGAUCUAGCUCUUGAAAUACCAUUUUUGAUUGAGUAUAAAUGGGAUAUAGGCACCUUACAACUUCAGAAUUCGAGGAAGAUGAUGUGAAUCUUCCAAUUUUAUCUAUUUGAUUCAAAUGGUAUGUUUUUUCACAUUUCUCAUAAUUUCCACGUCAACUCCCAUGAUGAUCAUGCAGGAAAGCAGCAUGAUUGCACUUCUUGUAGUGCAUACCAUCACUAAAACAUAGUUACUGUCUUUCUGUGGUCUUAAGAAAAAUUCAGAAACAGCAUACCAAUGUACAUAUAAGAUAAAUAAGCUUAUGUGGUACAGUAAGUGUUCUGUUCUGAGAAAUACCUUGAUUCGUAUCCUAAUGUCUGAUGUUAUUGGUAGUUCUCAAACUUCCCCAAUUCUGCUUUCAUCUAAAUUCAUCUUAUCUAUCUAUUGUUAAAUAAUCUAUCAGUCCAUUUUUAUCUAUCAUCUAUAUAUCUGUCUUUAUCAAUCAUUCGUCUGUAAUCUAUCUGUGCCGUUUGGCAUAAGAGACAGAAGGGCAUAGCAGUGGAAACUCAAAGGAGUUACCUCCAUGUGAAUGGACAGUGGUGAUGGUGAUCUGUGAGGUGGUGAUGUAUAGAAAGAAAAACUAGAAGAGAGCAUGCCCUAACUCAGGGACCUUGUCCAGCAGGCACUCUGGCCUUGUUAUACUGUGCUUGAAUAUGAAAAAAAAAAAAAUCAAAAUAGUGCUGACAUUCUUUGUCUUCUGGGUCUGAGAAAACUUAGAGUAGAUAUGAUGACUCUGCCAUUUCAGUCUUUUGUAUUUCCACAUUUAGAGCUCAGUUUUAAUUAUGUAGAAUUAUUUCUCCAGCCUGUGUUAAACUAGACCAUGGAUUGGCAAACUUUUUUUGUAAAUUGCCAAAUACACAUUUUCAGUUCUGAAAGCCUUGUGGUCUUUGUUGCAGCUAAUCUACUCUGCUGUUGUGUUAUGAAAGCAGCCAUAGGUAAUUUAUAAUUGAAUGAGUGCGCUGUGCCUUUCUUCCAAUAAAACUUUACAAAAGCAUCCUGUGGGCUGGAGUUUACCCUUUGGGAAACCAGAGCAUUGGCUAAACUGGAACCUGAAAAAAUAAUCACAUCAACUCAGCCACAUGGUAAUAAUAUUUAGAGUAUUAUUUCAACAUUUUCAUUUUCAUAAAAAUUUUUUUAGCUCUUUUGCCAAAUUCCAUCUGUGAGUGAUACAAAUGACUACCACGUGCCAUUAACAUCACCUAAACAGUGCAAAACAAGCAUAGUAGAAGUAAUUGGAAUGAUAUAAACCCCUUGCUGUAAUAGUUAUAGUUGAUAAAUUAUGUUUCAAAAUUGAACCUAUUUCUUCCAAAUUUCAUCUAUAAAGUUCCAAGGAGUUCCAAAAUCUUGCCUGCCUUCUUUUCCCAGUUAGCAGUAUUGUCUCUGAGCAGCCAUGGUGGUAUCCAUCCUCCUUGGACAAUGAAUUUAGCCUAUUUUGACUUCAUUUGAGCAGUUGUAAUUGUUUCACCACAUCAGAGUAAGAUUACUACAUGCCAGAGCUAUUCUUUAACUCAGCUUGUAAAAACAUGAUAGCAUCAACAAUAUACAUAGCAAAUGAAUGCCAUCUUUAAUCCAAUUAAAUGGUUUUUACAAAUUUGCUCUUGUUUGUUGAUGCUAUCUGCAUUGCAGUAAUUAAAGGUGAGGUAAAAAGAAUGAAUAAACUGCCAAGUUAAAAUUAAAUUUGGGCAAUUUCUCUUUUGCAGUAAUGUAUGUAUAUUUACUCAAAACAUAUGCCAAAUUUAGUGUUGAAAGGCUCAUUCAAAUCAAUUGGGAAAGCACGUAAAUGAACAAUUCAUAAAAGAAAAGCAUUGCAAAUGGCCAAGAGCAUAGAAAAUGUGCUCAAUCUUACCAGUCAUUAUAAGGAAAUAAUGAAAUUUGUGUAUAUAUGAAAUACUUAAAAUAUAUAUAAAAUAAAACAAUUAUUUGCCUUUUUUCACCUAUCAGAUUAACAGAUUAUAUGUGUUAACAAGGUGGGGAGAAUUUACAACUCCUGAUAUGUUAAAAUCUUUCAGGAAGGUAGUAGAAAAUAUAUGUAAGAUGGAAAUUAGCACUUUUGACCAACAAUUUUAGUUUUAGAUAUUUACCUAUAAGGAUAUAAUAGGAGGUGUUCAAAGAUGCAUGUAACUCAAUGUAGUAUUAAUUAUAAUUGUAAAAUAGUAAAUAACAUUUUUGUCAAAUCAUAAUGUUAGGAAAAUUAGUGAUGGCACAUUUAACCAAUUGAAUUAUAUUCAGUUCUGAAUACCGUGAUGCAUGUUCAAAUUAAUUGAUACAAAAAUCCAACAACUUUAGCAGUUUGUUUACCAGUUAUUGAGUACCAACUGUGUUCAACAUUGUUAUUUCACUCAUAUGAAAUGAUAAAUGUAUGUGCGUGUUAUGAUACGGUCAAUAAAACCACUUUUAUAGGAAGAAUACUCACAAAA